CCCGCGACAAGGCGUGGAGCAUGUGGUUUAAUUCGAAGCAACGCGAAGAACCUUACCAGGUCUUGACAUCCCGAUGCUAUUUCUAGAGAUAGAAAGUUACUUCGGUACAUCGGUGACAGGUGGUGCAUGGUUGUCGUCAGCUCGUGUCGUGAGAUGUUGGGUUAAGUCCCGCAACGAGCGCAACCCUUACGGUUAGUUGCCAGCGGGUUAUGCCGGGCACUCUAGCUGAACUGCCGUUGACAAAACGGAGAAGGUGGGAUGACGUCAAAUCAUCAUGCCCUUUAUGUCCUGGGCUACACACGUGCUACAAUGGCCUGUACAGAGGGAAGCGAAAGGGUGACCUGGAGCGAAUCCCAAAAAGCAGGUCUCAGUUCGGAUUGCAGGCUGCAACCCGCCUGCAUGAAGUCGGAAUCGCUAGUAAUCGCAGGUCAGCAUACUGUGGUGAAUACGUUCCCGGGCCUU
RNAcentral lists this ribosomal RNA (462 nucleotides) under uncultured Desulfotomaculum sp. RNAcentral's name for it is "bacterial SSU rRNA". It matches the Rfam family "Bacterial small subunit ribosomal RNA", at positions 920 to 1382 of the family's 1533-position model. Lineage: Bacteria; Bacillati; Bacillota; Clostridia; Eubacteriales; Desulfotomaculaceae. The record is from RNAcentral.